RNAcentral lists this ribosomal RNA (386 nucleotides) under uncultured bacterium. RNAcentral describes it as "bacterial SSU rRNA". It matches the Rfam family "Bacterial small subunit ribosomal RNA", at positions 28 to 416 of the family's 1533-position model. The record is from RNAcentral.
AUUGAACGCUGGCGGCAUGCUUUACACAUGCAAGUCGAGCGGCAGCGCGGGGGCAACCCUGGCGGCGAGCGGCGAACGGGUGAGUAAUGCAUCGGAACGUACCCUGGAGUGGGGGAUAACGCCGCGAAAGCGGCGCUAAUACCGCAUAUGCUCUGAGGAGGAAAGCGGGGGCUCGCAAGACCUCGCGCUCUGGGAGCGGCCGAUGUCCGAUUAGCUAGUUGGUGGGGUAAAGGCUUACCAAGGCGACGAUCGGUAGCUGGUCUGAGAGGAUGAUCAGCCACACUGGGACUGAGACACGGCCCAGACUCCUACGGGAGGCAGCAGUGGGGAAUUUUGGACAAUGGGGGCAACCCUGAUCCAGCCAUGCCGCGUGAGUGAAGAAGGCC